RNAcentral lists this ribosomal RNA (460 nucleotides) under uncultured bacterium. RNAcentral describes it as "SSU rRNA". It matches the Rfam family "Bacterial small subunit ribosomal RNA", at positions 26 to 518 of the family's 1533-position model. The record is from RNAcentral.
AGAAUCAACGCUGGCGGCGUGCCUAACACAUGCAAGUCGCACGAGAAAGGGUAGCAAUACCUGAGUACAGUGGCGCACGGGUGAGUAACACGUGAAUAAUCUACCUCCGAGUGGGGAAUAACUGAGAGAAAUCUUAGCUAAUACCGCAUAAUACCCACGGGUCAAAGCAGCAAUGCGCUUGGAGAGGAGUUCGCGGCAGAUUAGUUAGUUGGCGGGGUAAUGGCCCACCAAGACGAUGAUCUGUAUCCGGCCUGAGAGGGCGCACGGACACACUGGAACUGAAACACGGUCCAGACUCCUACGGGAGGCAGCAGUGGGGAAUUUUGCGCAAUGGGGGAAACCCUGACGCAGCAACGCCGCGUGGAGGAUGAAGCCCCUUGGGGUGUAAACUCCUUUCGAUCGGGAAGAUAAUGACGGUACCGAUAUAAGAAGCCCGGCUAACUUCGUGCCAGCAGCCGAC